UGCAGUCGAGCGGUAGCACAGAGGAGCUUGCUCCUUGGGUGACGAGCGGCGGACGGGUGAGUAAUGUCUGGGAAACUGCCUGAUGGAGGGGGAUAACUACUGGAAACGGUAGCUAAUACCGCAUAACCUCGCAAGAGCAAAGAGGGGGACCUUAGGGCCUCUCGCCAUCAGAUGUGCCCAGAUGGGAUUAGCUAGUAGGUGAGGUAAUGGCUCACCUAGGCGACGAUCCCUAGCUGGUCUGAGAGGAUGACCAGCCACACUGGAACUGAGACACGGUCCAGACUCCUACGGGAGGCAGCAGUGGGGAAUAUUGCACAAUGGGCGCAAGCCUGAUGCAGCCAUGCCGCGUGUGUGAAGAAGGCCUUCGGGUUGUAAAGCACUUUCAGCGAGGAGGAAGGCGGUAAGGUUAAUAACCUUAUCGAUUGACGUUACUCGCAGAAGAAGCACCGGCUAACUCCGUGCCAGCAGCCGCGGUAAUACGGAGGGUGCAAGCGUUAAUCGGAAUGACUGGGCGUAAAGCGCACGCAGGCGGUCUGUUAAGUUGGAUGUGAAAUCCCCGGGCUUAACCUGGGAACUGCAUUCAAAACUGACAGGCUAGAGUCUUGUAGAGGGGGGUAGAAUUCCAGGUGUAGCGGUGAAAUGCGUAG
This 647-nucleotide ribosomal RNA is filed under the name Pectobacterium carotovorum subsp. carotovorum. RNAcentral's name for it is "bacterial SSU rRNA". It matches the Rfam family "Bacterial small subunit ribosomal RNA", at positions 56 to 693 of the family's 1533-position model. The record is from RNAcentral. Lineage: Bacteria; Pseudomonadati; Pseudomonadota; Gammaproteobacteria; Enterobacterales; Pectobacteriaceae.